CUGCACUAUUUGUAGCCGCAAUUCAACAUCGAGGUCGCAAACAAUUAUUUUAAUAAGGGCUUAAAUAAUUAUAACGCUGUUAUCCCUAGAGUACCUUAUUCGUCUAAUUUAAUAAAGAUCAUUGUUAAUAUAAAUAGUCCUAUUUAAAUUUACCCCAAAUAAACUUGUGUACAAUUAUUACUUCAUUAAUUAAGUAAAGGUUCAUAGGGUCUUCUCGUCAAAAUGCAGG
This 229-nucleotide ribosomal RNA is filed under the name Acartia tonsa. RNAcentral describes it as "partial large subunit ribosomal RNA". The record is from RNAcentral. Lineage: Eukaryota; Metazoa; Arthropoda; Copepoda; Calanoida; Acartiidae.